This 338-nucleotide long non-coding RNA is filed under the name Glycine max (soybean). RNAcentral's name for it is "long non-coding RNA (GMAX_LNC002859)". The record is from RNAcentral. Lineage: Eukaryota; Viridiplantae; Streptophyta; Magnoliopsida; Fabales; Fabaceae.
GAAGAAGUCAUCCAAACCUCCUUGACUUAAGCAACAAGCAAGAGCAUGAUCCAAAUUUAGUUAAUUCCAUUCAAAAUAUAAAAACAGCAUCCUUGGAUUCUUCCAAUAGUUUUCGUGCGUACAGGAAACAAGUUUGAUGGAGAUGACUGAUACUCUCUAGGGUUUAACUGUUUAAACUUGGAGAAAGGGUAAGAUUUUCUUUGAUCGAUCAUUGCAUCGUUGAUAUGAUUUUUCACUCUUUUAAGAUCCCUAUUUACCACAAACUUGGAUAAAUAGGUUCUAAUGGCAGCCAUUAGAUAAAAUGAGUCCGCGUAAUUGUUAUAUGACGUUGUUCCAAU